AACCUAAUGGGCUUUCUCUUCUCAGUUCUUCCCGGAGUCGGGAAAAGCUGGGUUGAGAGGGUGAUAAAAAAAAGAA
RNAcentral lists this microRNA precursor (76 nucleotides) under Callithrix jacchus (white-tufted-ear marmoset). Its description in RNAcentral is "mir-320 microRNA precursor family". It matches the Rfam family "mir-320 microRNA precursor family". Lineage: Eukaryota; Metazoa; Chordata; Mammalia; Primates; Cebidae. The record is from Rfam by way of RNAcentral.